Pseudogymnoascus sp. 23342-1-I1 is the source of this 89-nucleotide transfer RNA. It matches the Rfam family "tRNA". From Rfam's summary of the family: Transfer RNA (tRNA) molecules are approximately 80 nucleotides in length. Their secondary structure includes four short double-helical elements and three loops (D, anti-codon, and T loops). NCBI's taxonomy places the organism in Eukaryota, Fungi, Ascomycota, Leotiomycetes, Thelebolales, Thelebolaceae. The record is from Rfam.
GGCCUGAUAGUUCAGUGGUAGAAUUCUUGCUUUGGGAGCUUCAGCAUUCAAAUUGUAAGAGGUCUCCGGUUCGAUCCCGGAUUAGGCCC